This is a small nucleolar RNA of Lactuca sativa (garden lettuce), 107 nucleotides long. Lineage: Eukaryota; Viridiplantae; Streptophyta; Magnoliopsida; Asterales; Asteraceae. The record is from RefSeq and is a predicted model, not a curated record.
AGGUCGUUUUUAGGGCAAUUUUGAAGUAGACCCUUGUAGCAUUCCCAUGCUUCAUACAACGACUCUUCCAUUUGUUGUUUAAAGUUAGCAAUGACCUUUUUGUAACU